This 603-nucleotide ribosomal RNA is filed under the name Streptococcus mutans. RNAcentral's name for it is "bacterial SSU rRNA". It matches the Rfam family "Bacterial small subunit ribosomal RNA", at positions 364 to 957 of the family's 1533-position model. Lineage: Bacteria; Bacillati; Bacillota; Bacilli; Lactobacillales; Streptococcaceae. The record is from RNAcentral.
UUCGGCAAUGGACGAAAGUCUGACCGAGCAACGCCGCGUGAGUGAAGAAGGUUUUCGGAUCGUAAAGCUCUGUUGUAAGUCAAGAACGUGUGUGAGAGUGGAAAGUUCACACAGUGACGGUAGCUUACCAGAAAGGGACGGCUAACUACGUGCCAGCAGCCGCGGUAAUACGUAGGUCCCGAGCGUUGUCCGGAUUUAUUGGGCGUAAAGGGAGCGCAGGCGGUCAGGAAAGUCUGGAGUAAAAGGCUAUGGCUCAACCAUAGUGUGCUCUGGAAACUGUCUGACUUGAGUGCAGAAGGGGAGAGUGGAAUUCCAUGUGUAGCGGUGAAAUGCGUAGAUAUAUGGAGGAACACCAGUAGCGAAAGCGGCUCUCUGGUCUGUCACUGACGCUGAGGCUCGAAAGCGUGGGGUAGCGAACAGGAUUAGAUACCCUGGUAGUCCACGCCGUAAACGAUGAGUGCUAGGUGUUAGGCCCUUUCCGGGGCUUAGUGCCGGAGCCAACGCAAUAAGCACUCCGCCUGGGGAGUACGACCGCAAGGUUGAAACUCAAAGGAAUUGACGGGGGCCCGCACAAGCGGUGGAGCAUGUGGUUUAAUUCGAAGC